GGAAUGCGCAGGAGAAGGAAGUGGGGAUAAUGACGGAGUGUCACCGUGUGCGGGCCCUCCGCGGGGCUCGGCGGCUCCGAGGGCAUGGAGUGCAAAUAGAGUGGGUUCGGGAGCCGUUCUGAAAAGAAAGGCUGCCUUUGAGAGCCGCUGUCGGGAGCCGCGAAACUUUUAUCCCCGCGGAUGAAGUGCCGGGUUCGUCAGAGCUGUGUACUCACGGAGGGGUAAUGAAAGAGCAACGCUUUUAGCGUGGUGGAUGGAUGAAAAUAGGCCGCUGUGAGACUGAAAAUACGAUGAAGGUGGCACACCGCAGUGCUAAUUAAGUGUCUUAAUUGGGAAAAUAAUAACGCCCUCUCGGAUGUGCAUUGGGUCUGCUCAUUUCUCAGCUGUAUGAGUACACACAGGUGCAAGGAAAGUCAACAUUAUGUAAGAUGCCAAAAACCUUUGCUGGAACGUCGCUCCCUGCUGACAAGAUGAUCCCACACCGGGGUGUGGGCAUUCCAGAGAAUUAAACCUGUGUGUGAAAACACAUCUCAUAGAAACCAUGAACGCAUGCCAAGGUUUGCAAUGCCUAGGCCAGAGGAGGCUGGAGGAAAAUGGGCACUCGUCAUGGAAAGGCAGAAGACACUGUGACAGCAGAUGAUGACCAGCAUCUAGACAGAGAUGUGACCCAGAGGUUUUCAGUUGUUUACAAAGGAUGUGGCGAUAUGCAUUGGUUUGGAGUCUGACUGAAAUUGAUGCAGUGCACAAAACUGCACUGAGGUAGGAAGGCCCAGAUUGUGAGGCAGAAUAAAAGCAACACAACAUCUCCCUUAGGUGAGUGGAAACAUGGGCCCCUCAUCGUGUGCGUCAGUUCCUCCUCAGAUGCUUCAGGUUUCCUUAAAUAGAAGAUCUACUUAAAGAUGGUAGUCUUUAACAGAGGAGCAGGCAAAAACACCUUAUCUCAGGUCAAGCAUUGAUUUCAGCUUCUAUCUCACAGCCAGCGCUCAAGUUAGGCAAGUAUUGCCAUCCAAACAUGGCCCUUCCUGCCUGCGUAGAUCUGCCCUCUGUACAGACUGGAUGCAGCCAUACAGCUGCCUCAUGGAGCCGUGCUUCUACAUUGACAGUGUUCUCAACUAAUGCACGCAGGCACCCUGAGAUCAGUUACAGCCUGAGCUGUAGGUGUUGUUUUUGUAUACACCAGCUUGAUGUCAGCAGUACAGAGAAACCGCUUUAGAUAAAAUCAGAUUGCAGAUGAGUUUUAGUUUAACUAAGCUAAUAUCACUGAUGUUCAGGAAGUGCCAUUAUCAGGCACAAAAACACGAGUCACAGCAUCACACACAGAAACAUGACUAUUUGGCCAGUGGGUUGGGGGCUCCUCCUGUCUGCUGCCAGUGAUGCCUGAUGCUACAGAGCUCCAGGGGUGCAGCUCCAGGCUCCUCUUCCACAGAUUCCAUGGCAAGUCAGUAAGGUUCAAGCCAGGCUGAAGCAUCCAGCAGCCAAACUGCCAAGAGUAGCUUCCUCAAUACCAGCUAGCUGAACGAAGCUGAGCUCCAUAGGAUCUUUGUGCAAUGGAGCAAGGAAGAGAGCAAGCUGAGGUCUGCAGUCCCAGGUGAAAGGAAACAGUCUGAAGCGCACCAACUCCAAGCCAGUGCCAUCAGUGGGAUAGAAAUGCGGAGGGGACCUCAGCUGCAGCUCAUGGCUGCUGUCAGACAAGAACACGACACGGUGAAGUGGGGUCAGUCUCCCCGUGUGCCAGAUGUUGGACACAACUGUGUCAGCAUUCAAAAUAUGAGCAGCUGUCAGUAAUGCAGAGCCCUGCUACUAGAAACCACAUUUAAUCAACAAUUUGUUACUGGUGCUGUAAUGAAAAUAUGAUUUACAGACUAUUAAACUGUGGCCAGGUGGCAAUCUUUAUUUAGUGGUUUUACUUAUUAUCUGAAUAUUGCAUACAUCUCUUCACAGAGCUUAUAUAUAGAAGUAACCAGUAACACAUUAAAUGGCCAACGUUUACCACACCCACUUACAUCUGUGAUGCAUAACUGAGAGCUUCCUUGACCUGUUCUGAAGGUCACCACUCCUGUUACUGCUUCUGACUCUGUGGUGCAGGAAAAAAAAAGCUGCAGCGUUUGCAGAAAUCAAGGACAGUCAUGUCUGUGAGCCUCAAAGGAAUUGGCACAGCGCAAUGCUCACCACACAGCAGAGGAAGCACCUGUAAUAAUGAGUUUCAGGACAAAAAAGACCAAGAUUUUAAAGUGCCUGAAGUUCAAAAGGAGGAAAAGAAAAUCCUCUGCAUAAAUUGUAGAGUAAGAAAUAAUUUCUCUCCUGCAGGGUGUGCUCACAAUUCAGCAAUGAAAGUGCAUCUCAGGCUGCAGCAUGCUGCAGAAUGCCCCAGGGCAGGUUGCAGAACAGCCCAGGAACAGGACACACAUCCACAAUGUACUGCAGCACUUUAUGAGGGCACUCGAUGAGCUGCAGCCACCACAGCAUGAGCAGAGCCAGAGCACGAGGCGUGCUGUAAAGCAAGGAGUUCACUGCAGGAUGCUGAGCAGCCAGCAGUCACAUGCUGAGAUGGCGCCAACUGCUUGGAAGGCCUUUGGGAAGCUGCUCUGUGUCUGUGUCUAGCAUAGCGGACACCAGGCAAUAAAUACACCUAAUUACAUUACAUACAACUUCAUUUAAACCAAGUGUUUCUUUGCACAUAGGAGACUGCAUUCUCCAACAGACUUCCCGUAGCUCUGUGAAUUAACUUCUUGUCCCUUUCCACAGGAACACAAUGCCUCCUGGCACACCACUCAUGCUGUCACAUCAUCAGCACAGAUGACCUUUUUAGAGAGCAGACGUCAUCCUAUACGUACUACUGUCUGCUGGGCCAAGUGAUUACCAUGACGUGCAUUUCCCUUUACCUUCUGCUAUUUCACAGAAUCAUUUGAGUUGGAAGACGGCCUUAAAGGCCAUCUAGCCCAGCUCCCCUGCAUUCAACAGGGAUACCUCUAUAGCUCGAUCAGGUGCCAGCCUGAUCUUGAAUGUCUCCAAGGAUGGGGCAUCCACCACCUCUCUGGGCAACAUGUGCCAGUGUUUCACCACCCUCAUGAUAAAAAAAAAAAAAUUCUUCCUUAUAUCCAAUGACAAUCUCCUCUCUUUUAGUCUGAAACCAUUUCCCCUUGUUCUGUCACAACAGACUCUGCUAAAGAAUCUGUCCCCUUCUUUCUUACAGCCCCCCUUUAAAUACUGAAAGGCCACUCUCAGGUCUCCCUGAAGCAUUCUCUUAUCCAGGCUGAACAGCCACAGCUCUCUCAGCAUGAAAGACUGAUUUACAGAGGGGCUACCUGAAGAAAUGCUUUUGCUGUUCAGAGAAAGUUGUUCGGUCCAGAAGAUUUUUCAAAGUAUAAUGAAUCCUAUAGUAUUUCCACACUCUGGAUAUGGAGGAAGAGUUAGAAUCAUGGAACAUCCUAAGUUAGAGAGGACCACAAGGAUCAUUCAGUCCAACUCAAAGCAGUUGAGUUGAAGACAGUUUUCUAAAAUUGCUCUCAAAAUUCAGAGACUCCUUACAAUGAAGUCAGUGACAAAACAUUCAGAAAAUGGUGUUGAACCGACCUUUCUUCUGGCAUGCUUCUCACAGGAAAUGCAUGUAAUCUGUAUUUCAGCAGCGCAUUACCAUACUGUUUUCAGUUCCAUAACUUCUUUAGCCACAUUACAGUUAUUACACGAUCCUUUAGUUCUGAGUUUCAAAGCGGAUGGAAGCUCCUCACCACACCCUUCUUCUAGACUUUGCGGCUGCCCCACUUUGUGGGAUUUGCUCCUCUGCUGCACUGGGUCCAGUCGUGGUGGUGGAUUUGUCAUCUUUUAGUUUGAUGCAUCGUAAAAAGAGUCGAGUGAGUUAUAAAGCGAAGACACAGCCUUAAAAAGCAAAGAAAAUUCCAGUAAAAACUCUUACCAUUAAAGUCUACUUAAAAUGAACCUUGUAUCCAAGACACAACGUAUAGCGUAGCCCAAAUGAAAAGAGAAGCACCCUGAAGACACAUCACAGAAACGUGGAGUUAUAAUUUUAGAGGGAAAUUACUGACACUGAACAGCAAAACCUCCCUAUGUUGGGAUUCAGUGCUCAGCUAACGAAGCACCAGACUCAAGGUACUCACUGAGGAUACCAAAGAUACGAGUUCAGGUGUAAAUAAGGCUCUAUGAAAUCUGAAAUGCAAAAACUUUUUCAUGCCCUUAAUCAUUUAGCUCCGAUAUUUCUAAACAAAUAAUCUGCCAUGUUGUUCCUUCUGGGUCAAUGCUUCGUGAUGCAGUAAACCACCAAACUGAAGUCGUAUUCAGAUGUUAUUCUGGGCUAUGCAUUUUCAUUUCCUUAUUUUCCAACGUAUUUUCAUUUCCUAAGCACACGUAGGAUUUGGGAACUUCAAGUCAGUUCUUUAGCAAAACCUGAGAAUUAAUGUUCUCCCUGGAACACGCACAAAGGUCUGAGCUCACAGACACACAGCAAAUAAAAAUAGAAAGAAGGUGAAUGCUGUAGAGUGUGACAACAAAAAGCUGGCCCUUCCCUCUGGAGGCUUUCUGUUUUUGCUUUAAUAAAGGAUGCUCAGAUCUACCUGCUCUCAGCAAGCACUGCACGCUGUAAUGGCCUUUUGCACUGAAGCUGUUCCAAGCUCCUUGAGCUGAACUUGGUGUGCAAAUACAUGUGAACAACAUCAUUGCCAUUUUUUAUUUCUCUUACACUUCUUUCAGACAGUAUUUAUAUUGAGAUUCUCCACUUUUUGCUGCCUUUCUUUCCAGAGUCAUUGAACAUAACAACCUUAACAAAUGAAGCCAAUACUUUCCCAGUAAUCUGUGUCUUUUUCCUUAUUUCAGGGUGCUGGCUCUUAAGGUACUUAUUUUUCAUUUUUGUGCUUCAGAACUUCUUCACAUGCAGUAAGAUGCCGUUCUUAGAGCUGCAGUUUAUCACUGCAUGCUUUCAGUUCAGUACAUACCCCCCAGUGCCUCAUUUUGGAACUCUUUUCCUCACAGCAAGAGAAAGCUUUACCACCAACCACUUACCCAUCCAGCUUCUUCUCUGGUGGAUUCAGUUCUUCCAUACAUUUCUGCCACCUCAAGUGUCUGCUCCUCCUGACGUCCUCGUUGUGGUGCAGGAAGCUGGGCAGAACCUUAGUAGAAAAGAGUUAUGGUCACCGCUUUCUUAUCACCCACACUUGUACUCCACCAGAGCAAACCGCUGAAACAAAGCAUGUAGAGCUCAUGUCCGGCCAGUCAGCGAGAGAUGCUAGUGGGGCAUUCUGCUGGCAGAUGAUAUCAGUUACCUUCUGGUUUCUCAACAUCUCUUUCAUGACAGAGAUCUUGUCAACAGCACAUGCCACAAAAACUAGUCUAAAUAACCAAUCAGCUUACCUCUGAGUAGACACCUACUACUUAUCAGUUCUGACAUAGACCUCAAGUUCCAUGUCUUUGUCACCUCCAGUUAUCAAAACAAAAUCAUACAUUCAUAGAAUUUUUUGAGUUAUUUAAAAAUCAUCUAGUCCAGCUUCCCUGCAAUGACCAGAGAUGCCUACAGCUUGACCAGGCUGCUCAGAGCCCCUUCCAGCCUGACCUUGAAUGUCACCAAGGAUGGGGCAUCCACCACCUAUCUGGGCAACAUGUGGAAACAUCUCCUCCCUUUUAGUUUGUAACCAUUUCCCCUUGCUCUGUCACAACAGACACUGCUAAAGAGUCUGUCCCCUUCUUUCUUAUAGUCCUCUUUUAGACAAUGAAAGGCCUCUCUCAGGUCUCCCCAGAGCCUUCUCUUCUCCAGGCUGAACAGCCCCAGCUCCCUCAGCUGUCAGUCUUCAUAGGAGAGGUGUUGCAUCCCUUGGAUCAUUUUUGUGGUGUCUUCUGGACACACUCCAACAGGUCCAUGUCUCUCCUGUACUGAGGACUCCACAUCUGGAUGCAGUACUCCAGGUGGGGUCUCACCAGCAUAGAGUAGAGGGACAGGAUCUUGACCUGCUGACCACACUACCAUUGAUGCAGCACAGGAUACAGUUGGCUUUGUGGGCUGAGAGCACACUUUGCUUAGGGACUUCACCUGUCCUAACUGCCCCAGUCUUUUUUUUUUUUUUUUUUGAUCUGGGAGUUGAAUUGAAUCUCAUAGAUGUUCCACCUAUAUCCCUGACAGCCCACAAGCUGAGUAAGCCUCCUAUUGCCACCAUAAUACUCAUGUUACGUAGUUACUAAACAGGCUGCCUUAGGUUCUGUCUGUAUCCACCACCUGCAGAUGCCUUGUUUCUACACUUGUCCUGCACCCUCCCCAUGUACUGUUUUCUCUCAUGAUUUCUUCCAUGCAAGCCAAGUAUCACUAGCAGAAAUAAUGCAGAGUUGAAUUCUAGAUGCUCACUUCUUUUGUCUGCUAAAAAGUAUCAGAACUGAUAUUUGUUUGAUAUUCUAGCCAGGCCAAGACUCUCAGUAUCUUAAGUAAUCACUCCUUCUGGAAAGAUAAAUAACAGAGAUGAGAGGCUGUAAGAUGCUCAUUUGAGCUACAGCCAGUGCCUUCUGGAGCCUCCUCUCAAAUUUCUCAGCUUGAGGUGCCCAUUGCAGGUAAAGAGCAAGUGAGCAGAAGUUGUACCUUGGAAGUCCUCUUGGUGAUGCCUCAAGUUCAUCUGUUCAUACAGCUCAAAAUAAAUAUUUAGGUUAAAGAUAUUGUGUGCUGAUGGAAAUAAUGUCACUCACAAGAACAUGUCAACUUCCGUUUCUUCUUGUAGCAAAAAUAUAAGCUUCCCAUUGCCACUAAGAAAGGAAUGAUGGGAACGAUGACCCAAACUACUGAUGCUUUCUUCUCCGAUGUCUGAGCUUCUGCAAUUACAUUUUUAAAGUAAAGUUAUACAAAACUGAAAGAAACAAUUGAAGAACAUUAUUACAUACGAAACGUGAAUGCAGCUUCAGGAGUGAAUCAAUCUAUUCUCCUACUCAUAUGCAAGGUCAUCUACGCUGCAUCAUUCCUAAUGGACACUCUCUGAUGAAUAUUAGCAUCAAUCCCACUUAUAGCUCAUAGUUCCUACAGUAAUGAAAGCUUUUCCCCCAAGUGAAUCUGAACGUUUUCUACUGUACUUCUAGGCUACUGCUACUUGACCAAGAGAUGGAUCAGAUCACUAAAUUCAAUUCAGAAUAUUUCCCCCUCCUGCUUAGAACAACACUAUUUCAUUCACUCUUCAUUUCAAACCUCCUUUAGUGUUUUCUAAACCUUUGGUCAUCUUUGUGGCUCCAUUUGGGGCACCAGUUGGUCAGAAGUGUAAAACAGUGCCCCAGACUGAACUGGAUGAGCAGGUGUUUCCAUGCCUCAAGCAGUGGAUAUAACAGGUGUGUGAUCAUGUUAAGGUCUAGUCAGAACUGGCUACCUAGUCUUUUCUUUACAGUUCAGAGGCAGAAAAAGAGAGAAAGAGAUUGGCAUUUUCAGGAAGUGAUGCCUGGUAUCUCGAGACAGCUGCGUAACAGAAGUGAGGUACAUUGCUUUCUAGGUAUUACACACUCUUUCUCUGGACUUAGGUGAAGCACAUCUCAUCCCUGCUUCCUAAUAAUUUAAUUGUGUUUGAGUACACAUUGUAUUAAUGUGUAUUAAUUCAGAACUGGGACCUUAAUUUGUUCUUGCUAAAGGUUACCAUGUGACAAUAAUAAAGUAAGAUAAUAUAGCCUCUAGAAAUCAACUUGUCCUAAGUUCAUGGACAAAAAUUCUUAUGAAUGUAGACACCAUACUCCUAGAUCUUUUAUAUUUAUCUCCCACUUUUUUUUUUUUAACGUGUUCUCGAUAAAAUUAAAUGCAUGUUACUCAAAAGUGACGUGAUUAUUUCAUCUAUUUCCACCACACAAAAGAUACAUUCAUUAUCUCACAUCCACCCUCAUGGAUUCCUCUAAAGAAGGAAUUGGGUUUGGGUCUUUUGUGAAACACACUGCUGAUACAUGGGUUCUCUGGAUCCUAACAGUACUAAUUCUUCUUAGUAAAACCCUUAGAGAAGAAAGCAAACACUUUACACCAGGAUUGUUGAGGCAGGGAACUUAAGGUGAUUGUCGUGAGGAGUUGUUCAGGUCCUCCUGUGUUCAUCUGGCUCACUCUGAGAUGUGCAGCGUUGAGGAAGGGAUGUGGGAAAGGGAGGAAUUGAUAAGCUAAGUGGCAUAAACGUACUCCUGCAUUCUUACCUCGCUCUUCAACGACCAACAUUGUUCCAUUUCCAUAUACUUUUUUACAGAAAGGUAUUUCAAUAAUUAUCUCACAGUAGUAAAACCCCGUGUCGUUUGCACUGGCAGCUUCAAUCACUAGGACAUCCUUGGUUUCAUGGGUGCCGUUGUGUACAUAGAUAAGAUCUGAUGAUACAAUUCUGGUGACGUUCUCUUUAUUAACAAGAUACCAGCUGAUUCUAUAUCUCUUAAUUGACUUUUCCCAAAUACAGGAUAUUUCAGUGGAGUCUCCAAUAGACAGGUGCAUUUCUGUUGGUGUUUGGGUGACUUUUACAUUACUGGGAUCUGUAGCCACUGGGAGAAAUACAUAUAGAUUUAAAGAGAAAGAGGCAAUUAGAUCAUAUAACACCUCUAAUAUCUACAGUGAUGCUAUUUUAAAUAAUGCUAAUACUGUAAAAUCGUGAUGACAUUAAUUUUAAUGGCCAGUUACUACCCACUUCUUGAAUAUAGACACAUGGUGGCUGAAGUAAACUUUUAGUCAUGUGUUUCAUCACUCCAUCACUGGUGCAUAACAUGUGAAGUUUUUCUUCAUACUUGUCAAUAUACUUAUUUUUUAUUUAAAAUAAAUGGCUUUUUUUUUGUAAGAGAUGUUGAGUUUGAAGCACAUUAAACACUUUGCUUUUAUCUGCCAGAUAAGGAAUGACCGAAAGGAGUUAUUCAGAAUGAUUCAUCCAUAAUGAAAAAGACUUGUCAAAAAGAAAGAAAAACUCACUAGAAAUUUUUGUCCCCAUGUAGGAGUUCUUUUCCUGCCCUGCUUCUGUGUAGUGACAAAAAGUACAGCAUUCUUGUCUCGGGUUCUGUAAUUUUGUUUGAAAUUUCCUUUCAAGUUAUUGCUGAAAAGGUUAUAUCUAUAGCAUGACAUUCACCUCCUUAUUUUAUUACAUAUUCCACUCACACCACAGUUAUUUCAUCAGGUUUUUGUUUGGCUUUAAGCUAUGGCUGACUCGGCUGGUAUUGGAGAACAUCACACUUUUUACUCUUUCCUGCUUUCAAUCACUUCAACACUCACUGCCCACCUGGUAGAUUGUCUCCAUGAAGUGCAGUACAACAGCAUACAAAGCAUUUUCUUCCAAAGUGAAAUCACUGUGUGGGCAUCAGAUAAUGUUUUUCUUCAAUGCCAAUGAUUUGGUUGCUCACCACAGAAAUGCCAAUCCUAUACAAAUCUAUCCCUAGACUCCUGAGAAUAUGGAUUUCAUUUGCUAUGUCAAGAAUUAUCAUCACUGUUCUUCUAGUGUGUAAACUGUUAAAGCGAGGAACUACUCAAAAGGAGUGUAAACUGUGUAAUUUCCUUCCAAUUCUUAUCCUGCAACUCAGACUCUUUUUACACCAACAUAUAAGGAAUGUGAUGACUUGGCCUUUAACUGGCCCUUAACGUGGCAUCUGAUUAAGUUUUAUUAGAAUUACAUAAAGUAUGUUUAACCUUCCUUAGCUCCUUAACCAUCACACCUAAUGGCGCCUCUACUUUUUCCCCACAAUGCAGCGCUCAACAGCACCUCCAUUUCAGUGAGCCCAGCAUUCGCAGCUGCUCUGUGAAUUACCCAGACCCUUACUGGGUAUGUAUGGGAGGAACAGCAACAGCAGAGGCUCACAAAACCAGCCUGAAAUUCUAUCAGGAGCUUUAUUAUUAUAACACCACGCUGGAAGCCAAAUGCUUUGCACUCCCUAUUGAGGAUACUUCUAAGUAAGAACACAGCAUAUUUAUUGCUGUCAGUUUGUGCAAACAGCUCUAACUUUGCAUUAAGACGUAGACUAAAACAGAGUAUCUGCCUACAUUAAAAGCAGAGAUCAUUAUAGGGGUAAUAAACAGCUGAACAAUAAGAGAGGAACUGACGCAGUGAGCAAACAACAACUUGGAAGCUGUUUGAAGAACUGAUUGCUCAUGUCACUUCUGCUCACUUGUUUUGUCAUUUAAAAUAUGUUUAAAAUAUAUUUUAAAUGUCUAAGAUUUGUUCCUUUACACGUUUUCCCACAACAGUCUCUCGGUAAAAAUGCCUUUUGAUCCUCCACGUGCUUUAAUUUUGAUUUCUGGAUUACAGUAACACACUUCACGUUUGUCUCACGUACACACAAGUCUAUCUGAGGUUGAUGUGCUUUGGGCUGGAUUUAAAAUAAAUAGAAGUCUCAAGAACUACAGGUUGCUAACGGUAAAAGAAUGAUAAGAGAUAAGCAAUACUUACCUAAGCAGCCAACACACAUUGCCAAAAGGAGUUUCAGUGAAGGGGCAACCAUCACGCAGUUACUGCAGCGCUCACAUCAGGGUGUCUUUCCUGAAGACGAACUAAACAACAAAUGAAAGCACGUCGGAGCCGCAGCCCAACUUCCUCUUCCCUCAUGUGGGGAACAUUCAAUGAAGUGCAAACGCAGCCCAGUGUUUCUCUAUGCUCUUCAGGGCACUGCAGUCAUAGUUCUCUCUGCUUCAGAGCCCAGUUAUGCCUUCUGAAAUCACGUUUCUUCUCAGAACUUCCACCAGUUGCCUUUCCUCGCGAGCAGACAGGCAUCCCUUCUGGUAAGUCACAAAGGGCUGCCUUCCAACAGCUGCAGCCCUCACUUCAAAACCUACCACUUUUGCAAUCUCCCAUUCAGGACCAUUCUGUGAAGAUGAGACUUCUCACUUCCUAAGGCUGUCAGUAGUCUUUUCCAUCCAAACUGAGUAAUUUUGCCCAAGCCUAAGAGGCUAUGCUUGUACAUGACACUGAUACCAAGCACUGCUCCUACGUUUCUUUAUCAUGCAUUUGCUUGAGGAAGAUUAUGAGCAUGGGUUGUAUGAAGUGAGCUAUGGUAUGUCACCAAGUUAAUGGCUGCCUUGAUGAAACUCAUCUCCAUCCAAUUGUUAAAAAAUAAUCAUCUGAAACACAGACAACUGCACUGAUUUGUGGCUCCAGGCCAGAAUCACUUAGAUUGCCUGGUAGAGACGGAGAAGGUAAAACACAUCAGCCUUAUUCCCUUGACCGAAGAUCUUUCAAAUGCAAAAGGAGCAGGACACACAGAAUCGUUCCACAAAUAUGCUCAGUUGUGUUACAUCAAACGUUGCAGUGACAGAAAUAAAAAAUAAAAAAGAAAUUAAAAAUCUACUAGGACACGAAUUAGUUAAUUUAAAAGUCUUGAUGUGAGCCUGUCUUAUCCAGAAAAUAUUCUAGUGCCAACAUCUGGUUGGCAGCAGCACCAGGCAUGCGUCCAGAACAGCUGAGCUGCAAUUUGUAAUGAAGACACAGCCACAUUUAGAGCCUGGAGCACUGUUCUCAUCUGUCAGCAACAAAACCGUGAUGCAUCGGUGUGCCUGCUGCUUCUCAGCAUCUGCCUUAUCAGGGUUGAUUCUGGUGUCACUUACACUGCCAGGUUAAACACAGAAUAUACCCCAACACAAGAGCAAAGGUAAAUAAGUUCCUGAGACGGUAAAUUCUAGGACUGCUGUAGGCUGUCCUUAUCUCUGAUGGUACCCAGCUGGCUAGAGCUAGUGAGAGCAUAACAAAUAUCUUUAAAUUGAAGUGAAGGAAGAGAUAAAUUAAAUACUUGCAAAUAUUCUGUUGGCUCUACUAGUAUUGAAAUUCAUGUUAUCUUUGGUGCAGAAUAAAUGAAAUGGGUAUGCACACACCCAAGGGAGAACUUAGCUUCUUUUACAUUUAAAUAUGUGUAUCUGUGCACUUCGUGCUCAGGUGUGCAGCUGGCAGCUCCAUACGUAGAGGCUGGGUGAAACUUUUCCAAUAGUGCUGAUAGCAGCUCACAUUCACUCUGAAAGAUGCUCUGGUUCCAAUCCAAAGCAUCCACUGUCAGAGAUGAAAUGAACUGGCACAGAAAAAGGGUUAGAAAAAUGGUUUAUUUUUAGCCCACGUUACUUCAUUGUAGCAGUUCACAGCAUAACCCCACAAACUCAUCGUGGUAUUACUGAGUGGGUGGAAAAAAAUAUGGUGAGUAUUUCUCAAGCCAGCUUGCAUCACACAAAACAACUAUGUGGGUCAGAAUGCACCCACAACAGAGAGAUUCUUUUCAGCUUUCUCACUUCGGCUACAAUUAACUUCACCACAUUUGGACUCUCUGCACACCAAGGACUCAUAAGUCUUCCUUGCCUCCAGCAAACACCGGGUGCAAAGCGUGCUGCCACCUGGGCUCUCACCUGGCUCUGUGUAACAGACCGGGUAGCAUCUCACUGCCACCAGCGGAGCUUUACUUGCUUUCUGUGAUAUAUCCACACUAUCAAUUUGGUCCAGCUUGGACCCAAGCAAAAAGCAGAAAACUUGGCUUGAGAUCAUCUCCAGGACUUUUCUCAAAACAUUUAUUAGCAUGGAAAUAAACCCCACCUGAUUUGUUUUCCAACAAUGAACAAUAAAUUACAUCUGAGCAGAAAAACAGCUCCGUAGCACAACAAAUAGGCCAGCUGUGCCUACCACAAUUCAUUUUCAAAUAAAUAUGAGUGCAAGUCAUAUUUUUACCCUCGCUAGUGAUUAAAGUAGUGAUUUGCAAUAUUUGAGCUUUGAACGUCUCGUAUCAGUUUCACGCCCUCUCCUUGUUUGCUCCCUUUUCUCAAUACACUCCCACAGAACCCUUCCACUCUGCAAUGGUUGCUCACCAAUUUCCAACCAAAACUAAAAGCAAAGGUUGCUUACCAUGGCACAAAUGUGCUGCUUCUGCACAGGACUUUUUCCUCUGCUUACAGUUUACUCGCUCUCUUUUCCUUUAUGUGCACUAUCUGAUGUAUGGCUUGAAGUAAUGUUUGAGUACAGAAUGCCCCGAUUUCUAUUAAGUCAUUAUGUAGCAGUGCCAUAUCUCCCUUCACCAUCUUGAUUCAUGUGAAUAAAAUAAUGAUAACUAAGUGAUGGCCCCUCUACAGAGAUUGGAAUGCCUGCAGGCUUCCAUUUGCUUGGGCUGACAUUUAUCAGGAAAAUAACAAAACAUGCAGUGACAUUUUCUAGCAGGAAAGUCACACUAUUACAGAUCACCUUCUUGGAUGCCUCUGGUGGAGUACAAGGCUCUCUCUGAUAAAUUAUUCCUGAAUGGUCAACCAUUCUGAAGUAACUCCAGGUAUUCUGGUGUCAUCCCACGCCUGCCUGAUCCCCAUUGCCCCUUUUAACCAGAAAGUCAGUAGAAAUUGAAAAACAAACAAAAACCCCAAACAACAGAUACAUCAGAUGGUGAUGAGGUCUUCCUGUUUAUUAGUCUCCUGCAGAGAGGUUUUCCACAGGAUUUCUUCUCACCUAUCCUGUAAGAAUCAGAUCAACCUGGCAUGUGGGAGAGCAGCACCCUGAAUUAACAGCUGUAGGACCCAAUACUGUGUGCCUACUUCUUGGGCAGGAUUUGCCUCACUCACUUAGAAUACAAUUCAAUUUGAGAAUCUACCAGCAUGCCUUGUUGUUAUUAGCAUGUGUAUCAGACAACACAACCAGAUCAGCCAUAAAAACACGAAGUGAAGUCAUACCACUGUAUAACCUACACAGUAUGCCCAUAAUAAUACAUGGUACCUCCAAGCAGAGAUUGAAAAAAGAUAAUCAAAGUGACUCAGUUGAACACAUUUCACUUUCUGAAUACACACAAAAUAAAAUGAAAAUAAAAUGAAAUCAUCCUUUACUGCAGCCUGGUUACGGUGUUAUACACUUUCCCUAUGGGGUUAAUGCUGCAUGAAAACAGCUUCCGCUGCAGCAGGGCAGGUCAGAUUGGUGUAUGCCAAGUGUUUAUAGCCAAGUGUGAAAAAUAAAUACGUAACAACAGUUGUCCACCUAGUAAAAAGCAGCAGUCUCUGUGGUGACUUUAAGGUGAUGCAGUCGGUCAGUAUAUACCGGCUGUCUUCACAGAGAAGCCAACCACCAGUGCAGCUCUUCCAGCACAGCUAUUUCACGACAGUCCUUUUCUCUGUUUCCUUUGUUCUGGAACAGCAUCUCUGCAUGGGGGGACGUAUUGCUGAAAAGCCUAACUACGUCAGAACAACUAUCACAGCAAAAUGUAUGUUUUUAGAUGAAUCCAGAUCUGAAAUUAUUGAUUUAAAACCCACUUGUACUUCCCUUUAAAUCCCAGGUGUUUCAAGUUCUGCUGGCCAGAAAUAGAGCUUCGUGCAUGCUGUACACAGCACAAUUCAUCAUUACCACUGCAGUAAGUGUUCAAUGUGAUUCUCAUCUCAGCCACAUGCAUUUUCACGGUGAAUAGGUAAAUUUAGGGCAUGUGAACAGAAUGAGAUUCUACAGUUUAGGCUAAGAAAAAAAAUAGAAAAAUGCAACAGUUCUUUUGAACACAAAAACAUACCAGCUAUUAGGAAAGCUGGUCGCUGUCUGUUUCCUUUAGCUGCUGCUCAAUCAGAUCUGCUUAGAACUUGCACUUACUGUCAGUUUCUCUCUAAACACUGCCUUUCGUAACUAACUAGAACAGAACAGAAGACUAAUGGGAUAGUGUGAAGCAAAUCCAGUCAACUCCAAAUCUUAAGAGAGAUGGUUGUAAUGAACUCACUGCAUGGGAAUACCAACACCGCAUUCAACUUGAGUUCACAGCAAAGCAGAAUGUUUGUCGUUGUUGCCUGAAAGACAAAGUAGCUCAAAGACGUGAUAGGCAUAUAGAAACACAGAAUGGAUUUGAGCAAAUUAUUACUCUGUGACUGAGAAGCCAUCACUAACAAUAAAAACCCCAAGAAAGGACUCUUGAAACUACCACAGUAAGAAAGACAAUUCAAGACUAGAGGACCAAUGUGCCUUUGUCAGCAUUCCCAAAUGAAACAUCAUAAAAGCAAUCACUUUAAAACCACCCGCAGGAAACAUGAAAUUGUUCAAACCACUGCACUGCCACACUAAGGCCAUCUUUGUAUUUUCAAACUGAACAAAUUUCAGAAAAAAAAUGAAUCGUAAGCAAUUAAGUAAUAAAAAUAUACACAGGUCAACAGUUCAAUUAAAUUUAGAGUUUAUUCCAAAAUGACAUUCUUUUCAUUGACAGGAGCAGAAUAUCCUUCAAGACCAUCAUUUAUGUUUUCAAACAAAAAUGGAAAGCAAUUACACAUUCAGUCCUGAAACAAAGUCAGACUUUACUGAUCUUGAAAAUACACAAAGAAAGUCCUUAUUUCCUUUGGGUGAACAGUUACAGUAAAGUCGUCUGGGAUCUUUGUACUAUUGGAGAAUCCUGUAAGACACAACACAGAAAAAUUGGUAACUUAUUCAAAAAGGAGCUUUAUUUAUAUGUACAUAUUAUUCUAUCUCAACAGAUGCAAUUUGUCCAUUUCUUAAAAGCUAUUGUUUGAGCAGGUUCUCUUCUUUUAAAGCUAUAGGUAGCAUGAGAUUUAUGGUGCACUCUCAUUCUUAAUGUUAAGAUACAACAAUCUAUCUACUAUUCAUAUACUGACUCAUACCAGAAAAUGUGGGUGAUUUCUGUCAUGCGUUUUAGUUCGUCAUGAGUAAAAAACAAGCAAGUUCCUAACUGCAGGUCAAGCAGAACUUGAAACUCACAGCUUGCCCAGACCAAGAUAUCUGCAAGCAUUUUACAAGGCACAUAAUAUGGUUGUGAGAGUAAGGACAAUGUCCGAGCAACUGGAAUGGGAAAUGAAAUGAGGUCACCUACAGCACUUGAGUGCGAGCCCUAACUGGAAUCCUAUCCACACAGACCUUUAAGCUGAUUACAGUGGGGGAUUUUUUUUAACUCCAGCUGUCUAUUUUUCUAGAGCACAAGGUUAAGCUCAGAUUAACACAACUCAUUACCAUACAACAAAAUUCAUGAAGUGUGACUUCAUAGAGUAGCCACUUGAAUCUGGACAAAGAUAGAAACCUGAAAUCUUUUUUGAGUUUAACACUUCUGGGUGAAAUAAGCCAUAAGAGAAAUACUGCAGUCUAGUUCUUGCUAAUUUCUACUGUUGGCAGACUAUGCUAGAUACUAGGUAUGUGCUAUAGAUGAACAAUACAUUUUUCAUCUUGCACAUACAGAAAUAUGUUUAAUCAGAGAACUCAUAGAGCUUCAACUGUCAACAGGAAUAAAGACACCAACUGCCCUGUUCCACCUACCUUUGCUUCGAUUUUGCACAGUCUUCCACUUCCACCGCUUCAAAGUGUUCACAUCCCAGGUGCCUGUGAGUGAUCGCUCUUCCACUAACUUCACUGAUCCCAGUUCUUUCAGCAAACUCUGCGAGUAAAGAGUCACAAUUUAUUGAGGCUAGCUUUACAACCACUGAUCUAAUACACAGAUAGACCAGAGCAGAACUUUAUCUAAAGCACUGACCUGCUAAGCAGAGCAGUGGAGACUGAAAUCUGUGAAGUCACGCAAGACACGGACAACUACAAACUCACCUGAACUAAGAAGUGGAGGUGAGCUUCCUCUAUAUCGUAACAGAGUUCUAAGCCUACUAAUUUUGCCAUUCAAGAAUUGAAACUCUUACUGAACUUUUAAGAAGAAAACAGAAAGCCCUACACCUUGUUCCACUUUGUUAUUGUCAUAUUGUCUGCAUACUGCCUCUAUGACAAAUUUAUGUGAAGUAAUAGCUUUUGUCUGAAUAUAAGUUUGAAUAUAAGUAAGACCUGCAUUCCUCUGAGGCUAAAGUUACAUUAGCAUUUUCAUAUCCACCUUUUAUGCAGUCUGUAUCACAUGGGACAUUUCAUUCCAGAACCAGUUCUCCUUGGAACAAAAAUACCUUGAGUGGUGUUCUAUCCACAAGGAUUACAUUUACCUUCAGAUUCACCAUCACAGGCUGAGACAGCACAGGAUCCUCUCCAACUUCAUACAGAUGUCUAAUUCUCAGCAGGACACGACUGAAGUCUGCAUCACCUUGCUUCUGUUUACCUUUAGGAAAAAACAACAUGAAACAGUUUCUUACUUAUAAAAUAAAAACAAUUUUUUGUUGUUGUUUGGUUUUUAUUUUGGUUUUAAUUUUUCGUGCUUUACAAUUACAUUAUUUGAACUUUUGUUUCAUUUUUGAAGAUUAGCCAGGAUGCUAAGAGCAAGAAGUACCCAGUUCCUGCUGUUAACAGGACAUGCCACUAACUCAUACAGGAGCCAUUUUACUGUUUGAGUAGAGCAAUCGUUAACUGCCAACACAAUUACCUGCCUUGAUAGAGGGAUUUAACACUUGAAUAAAUGCACUAUUUACAGAACACAGAAAAAUAGAAAGACACCCUUUUGAAAGCACCUACCCAUGUGAAUGGCGCGGACCUGCUCUGCAUGAUUAGAGCUGUAUCUCCACCCUGGAAUGCUCAGAGUCUGGAGAUGAAGAUUAGGUGGGACAGUGACAGAAAAACUGUGGGCUGAUCUCUUCUGAAGUUGCCCAGGUAGCUCUGGUUUAUCUCCUCCAUGCAAAAGGAAACAAAGCGGACAUCAAACAUCCAUCACGCAUACAUAAGCCUGGCUAGAGUACCAUAAAGAGAUUUUUUCGUUUUCUGCCAAGGCAGAUCUAAAGCAGAUGCUAUGCUUUCUCAUCUGAGGUCUUCUGAGAUACAAAGCAGAAGGAAUUUAUGUCCUGGAGGACUGUAUUAAAGCUUCCAAUAAAUUGCACUGCAGAUUUCACUGCAGUCUGAUGCUACUAUUCCACUACCAGCCUUCAGUUUUAGUUAAUAAGUCAAGUAUUUUUAAAAGAAUGACUCAAAAAAGGUCACUAAGGACUCAGCAUCCAGGAACCUGAUGUAUGGUACGCUAGCUACUUUGCAGUAAUUCCCCGUGUGGACAUUUUGUUCUCAUUACAUGCUCUACAAUUUUUUCUCCUCUAGAAGCAGAGAUAAUUACAUAACAAGAGAAACAUUCUUGGAAGCACUUGGAAAACAUCCAUAUCUGAAAUUAAUGCAAAGUAAUUAACAGUCUGUAAAUCUGCCUUCAAACUCACUGUAUACUAACUUCACCACACAGGAGGCUUAAAGUCUGCAUUUACAAACUUAAUAGUGUAAGUCUAAGCAAAACAGAUAAACUAUUCAGAUGCUAAAGAUAGCACAGGAGAUAGAACAAGUUACCUGAAAACGUUCCAAACAUUACAACUGGCCUGUGCUGUAAUGCUAGGCCACUUGUCCGAUACAAAACACUGGUGGCAGACUUUGUUCCUAAAAUAAGCCAAAACACAGGACGAACCACUGAAGAGUCAUUCAAAGUAAGAUUGUAAUUUAGGUCCCACUGAAGAUUGUUCCAUAGUCUCCUGUGAAGCAUCACCUGUGUCAAGAAGAAGUGUCACAAAAGUAACCAGCCACAAAGCUAUCCUCUCCUAAUAAAGAAAAACCCACACAACUGCAUUUGUUACCUCCACUUGUCCGUUCCCUUGACUUGAGACACCAUGAGCUCUUUCUGCAAGCAGCACCAGCCUUGUGGUAUCAUCUUCAAUGUAGGCAGUCUGGACCAUAGGAUAAUAGUUCUGAAAACACAUAGUAAUUCACGCUGUAUUGAUAGUAAUCUAGAUAAAAGUGAUGGAGAAUGAAGAUAAAACAUCAUCUAGUUUGGAUUACACCUUGGCACCUACCCGCGCUGCUGUAUUAUUCACAUAUGCCUUGAAUGGUCUCUUCUGAAUCUGAAAUCCAUUGUCAUCAGUGUAGAGCAGCUGCCCAGUGUUCAAAUUUGUGCUUGUUCUUAGAACUGCCUCACGAUUUACUUCCAAAGGUCCAAUACUGUAUUCUUGCUCUAUCCUAUGACAAAGCAACUUCGCAUCAUAGCCUUCUGGUACUGAAUACAUCCUUGUAAAUACUGCAUGUGUGUAAUACUGAGCAGUAACAUUGCUGUAAAAACAUGAAGGAUUAUUAAUUAUUAUAUAUAAUUACAUUAUAAAGCAGACUACUACGGUAACUCUGAACAAUCUUCACCUCCCUCCCCGAGUGGUGCGACUUAUCUAAAAGGAAGUGCUUCCUUAGCAUUAUGCUUAGCAGAUGCUCGUUAGUUCUCGUCUGAAACCUUCAGAGUACAAGAACUCCACUGUGUGGAAGAGGAGCUGCACAGAACGACUCACAUACAUCAACAGAGGACUACACAUUCAAGUGAAGUAAAGCUGUAAUGGAGCUGCACCUGAAGAAGUAUUGCCGUAUCUCUGUCACUAAGUUUCCAGACACCACUUCCAGUCCAACCGCUUGUGAUACUGGAACAGCAGAAGAAUUAGGGGCAAAUAAGUAGUUGUCUGAAAUGGGUCCUUUUGUAACAUCUCCGUUCACGUGGUACUCGAGGAACUCCUGGGUCACCUGGACAGUCUGGUUAGUCUCCCUGUGAACCGGAGAGGGAAAAACAAAACCUGUAUUACCUACAAACACAUUUUGUACAUAACAGAUGCAAAGCUGUAAUGAAGUUGUGAAAAUAAGAAAAAUCUGUUUUCUCACACUGAGGAACUCAUUUGGUAAGACUUAGGAAAUGAGGACAAGAGAGAAUUAAGGCACACCCUGUUAAGACAUCUGUCAGUGUAUAAAUAAAAGGAUUUUCACGCCAUUUUGUACUUCCGUAAAAUAGGAGCAUCUUAAAACAGGAACAGUGCUUACCUUAGGUCAUGUUUUGAAGGGCAAGCGAGAGCUGCUACAGGAUCAACAACUAGCUGCUGCACAAAAAAUGAGGAACACCUCAACUUAAUAAUGAAUAACCAGAUUAAUUUGUCUGAUGUUGUAGCUAAGAAAACCACUGUGGCAAAGGUUUCCAUACUUAACAAUGGUAACAAGAAUAUAGUGGCAACAGGGUAACAAAAUCCACACUUGCUCAGCAUACUUUGUCUCCUCCUUAUGGUUAAGAUACUUAGGAACCCGUUUCAUGCUCUCUGCAAAGUCACAUUUAAGAUGCUAUCUUAAUCCUAUCAGGCAAAAAGCACAGCUCCACUGAAACCUGGAGGAAUCGGGCCAAUUCACAUUGGCCAAGAAAGACAAGCUGCAAACCUCACACUGAUCUUGACUGUUCUUUCAUUUCAUUUGCUUAACUAAAUUUGCCUAAUUCAUUUGCCUAAAUGUUUACUUUCAAAAUGUUUUGUAGUUUCCUGUCAUAAAAGAAUGACUUCCAAAUACUACUAACUAGUAAGCCCUUACUUUAUCUUAUAAAGCUCUUAGUGUAGCCAUAGCAUACGUGCUGAGCUCUUUUUAAUAUGCACAUCCAUACCUCUCCUUAGCUGAAAAGUACAAUGAGAUUCUUCUGAUAUAUUAAUAUUGUGAUCUGUCAUGUUCUCUUAUUACUGGUUGCAUGGUUCAACAAGGCAACAACAUUACAGAAAUAGUACGAAAUUACACCCAACAUAGAGUUCUCCAUUCCACGGAAAAUACUGACAUGUGAAUGGCAGUGGAAAAGAAAUAAUUAGGAAGAAAAUUUAGUUAGGUCUUGGAAUUAAGGCACACAAUAUAGGACUUGGAUUUACUUUUACAAAAUGGUUUUACAGAAUCUGAAACACAAAGAGCAAGCAAUCUCACCUGUUCGUAAUGCUGUGCAUCAGAUUAGUGUUUUGGUCAAACACAAUCUCGUAGCAAUUGCUGGCCACAGGAAGCAGUUUUUGACUUUGCUGAACUGAACGCAUCAUGUCUUUUCGCUUGUAUUUAAUUGAUCUUCCAAUAAAUGCAGACUGUUUAUCAUUA
Molecule: long non-coding RNA, 20627 nt
Organism: Gallus gallus (chicken)
Lineage: Eukaryota; Metazoa; Chordata; Aves; Galliformes; Phasianidae
Exons: 5
Source: RefSeq, a predicted model, not a curated record